GGAGAACUGAUCUACGCUCUAACUUAACCAAGAUAAGUAAAUAAGUGUAAAUAGGAAAGAUGGUAGAAUCGAAUAAGAACAAUAUUAAAGGUAAGAUAACAGUGAGUGAUAAUAUGGGAAUAGAGAGUAGAGCAAUCUAGUAUAUGGGCGAUGGUAGCAGAAUAGAGAGGAUAACUAUGGUUUCUCUACUUCAAAGGGGUA
RNAcentral lists this long non-coding RNA (201 nucleotides) under Sorghum bicolor (sorghum). Its description in RNAcentral is "long non-coding RNA (SBIC_LNC004971)". Lineage: Eukaryota; Viridiplantae; Streptophyta; Magnoliopsida; Poales; Poaceae. The record is from RNAcentral.